RNAcentral lists this ribosomal RNA (723 nucleotides) under Actinomycetes bacterium. Its description in RNAcentral is "bacterial SSU rRNA". It matches the Rfam family "Bacterial small subunit ribosomal RNA", at positions 140 to 875 of the family's 1533-position model. Lineage: Bacteria; Bacillati; Actinomycetota; Actinomycetes. The record is from RNAcentral.
GGGACAAGCCCUGGAAACGGGGUCUAAUACCGGAUAACACUCUGUCCUGCAUGGGACGGGGUUAAAAGCUCCGGCGGUGAAGGAUGAGCCCGCGGCCUAUCAGCUUGUUGGUGGGGUAAUGGCCUACCAAGGCGACGACGGGUAGCCGGCCUGAGAGGGCGACCGGCCACACUGGGACUGAGACACGGCCCAGACUCCUACGGGAGGCAGCAGUGGGGAAUAUUGCACAAUGGGCGAAAGCCUGAUGCAGCGACGCCGCGUGAGGGAUGACGGCCUUCGGGUUGUAAACCUCUUUCAGCAGGGAAGAAGCGAAAGUGACGGUACCUGCAGAAGAAGCGCCGGCUAACUACGUGCCAGCAGCCGCGGUAAUACGUAGGGCGCAAGCGUUGUCCGGAAUUAUUGGGCGUAAAGAGCUCGUAGGCGGCUUGUCACGUCGGAUGUGAAAGCCCGGGGCUUAACCCCGGGUCUGCAUUCGAUACGGGCUAGCUAGAGUGUGGUAGGGGAGAUCGGAAUUCCUGGUGUAGCGGUGAAAUGCGCAGAUAUCAGGAGGAACACCGGUGGCGAAGGCGGAUCUCUGGGCCAUUACUGACGCUGAGGAGCGAAAGCGUGGGGAGCGAACAGGAUUAGAUACCCUGGUAGUCCACGCCGUAAACGUUGGGAACUAGGUGUUGGCGACAUUCCACGUCGUCGGUGCCGCAGCUAACGCAUUAAGUUCCCCGCCUG